Molecule: ribosomal RNA, 244 nt
Filed under: Pantoea agglomerans
Lineage: Bacteria; Pseudomonadati; Pseudomonadota; Gammaproteobacteria; Enterobacterales; Erwiniaceae
Description: partial 16S ribosomal RNA
Rfam family: Bacterial small subunit ribosomal RNA
Source: RNAcentral
CGGCCGCAAGGUUAAAACUCAAAUGAAUUGACGGGGGCCCGCACAAGCGGUGGAGCAUGUGGUUUAAUUCGAUGCAACGCGAAGAACCUUACCUACUCUUGACAUCCAGCGAACUUUCCAGAGAUGGAUUGGUGCCUUCGGGAACGCUGAGACAGGUGCUGCAUGGCUGUCGUCAGCUCGUGUUGUGAAAUGUUGGGUUAAGUCCCGCAACGAGCGCAACCCUUAUCCUUUGUUGCCAGCGAUU